AGUGAACGCUGGCGGUAGGCCUAACACAUGCAAGUCGAACGGCAGCACAGUAAGAGCUUGCCCUUACGGGUGGCGAGUGGCGGACGGGUGAGGAAUACAUCGGAAUCUACUUUUUCGUGGGGGAUAACGUAGGGAAACUUACGCUAAUACCGCAUACGACCUACGGGUGAAAGCAGGGGAUCUUCGGACCUUGCGCGAUUGAAUGAGCCGAUGUCGGAUUAGCUAGUUGGCGGGGUAAAGGCCCACCAAGGCGACGAUCCGUAGCUGGUCUGAGAGGAUGAUCAGCCACACUGGAACUGAGACACGGUCCAGACUCCUAUGGGAGGCAGCAGUGGGGAAUAUUGGACAAUGGGCGCAAGCCUGAUCCAGCCAUACCGCGUGGGUGAAGAAGGCCUUCGGGUUGUAAAGCCCUUUUGUUGGGAAAGAAAAGCAGCAGGUUAAUACCCCGCUGUUCUGACGGUACCCAAAGAAUAAGCACCGGCUAACUUCGUG
RNAcentral lists this ribosomal RNA (492 nucleotides) under uncultured bacterium. RNAcentral describes it as "partial 16S ribosomal RNA". It matches the Rfam family "Bacterial small subunit ribosomal RNA", at positions 29 to 507 of the family's 1533-position model. The record is from RNAcentral.